Molecule: ribosomal RNA, 484 nt
Filed under: uncultured bacterium
Lineage: Bacteria
Description: partial 16S ribosomal RNA
Rfam family: Bacterial small subunit ribosomal RNA
Source: RNAcentral
GACGAACGCUGGCGGCGUGCUUAACACAUGCAAGUCGAACGAUGAUGCCCAGCUUGCUGGGUGGAUUAGUGGCGAACGGGUGAGUAACACGUGAGUAACCUGCCCCUGACUCUGGGAUAAGCGUUGGAAACGACGUCUAAUACUGGAUAUGACUGCCGGCCGCAUGGUCUGGUGGUGGAAAGAUUUUUUUGGUUGGGGAUGGACUCGCGGCCUAUCAGCUUGUUGGUGAGGUAAUGGCUCACCAAGGCGACGACGGGUAGCCGGCCUGAGAGGGUGACCGGCCACACUGGGACUGAGACACGGCCCAGACUCCUACGGGAGGCAGCAGUGGGGAAUAUUGCACAAUGGGCGAAAGCCUGAUGCAGCAACGCCGCGUGAGGGAUGACGGCCUUCGGGUUGUAAACCUCUUUUAGUAGGGAAGAAGCGAAAGUGACGGUACUUUCAGAAGAAGCCACGGCUAACUACGUGCCAGCCGCCGCGGUAA